AUGAGCAGGAUAAUUAAUUACGAUAUUUUUCUGAAGCAUGUGACACCCUUAUUGGUGCUUUACUCUGAUUUAAUUAUUGAAUUAUUCGUGAAUAUUCCUUGUGGUUUAGAUGAGUAUUACAACCAUCAUCAUCCUCUCUUCUUCUUCAUGUUUUGCAAACUUUGUAUCACUUUCUUGAUUCUUUUCGCUUUUAUGGACAAUCACUAG
Vicia faba (fava bean) is the source of this 207-nucleotide non-coding RNA. The record is from the annotation of a GenBank genome assembly. Lineage: Eukaryota; Viridiplantae; Streptophyta; Magnoliopsida; Fabales; Fabaceae.